Molecule: ribosomal RNA, 492 nt
Filed under: uncultured bacterium
Lineage: Bacteria
Description: partial 16S ribosomal RNA
Rfam family: Bacterial small subunit ribosomal RNA
Source: RNAcentral
AGUGAACGCUGGCGGUAUGCCUAACACAUGCAAGUCGAACGGCAGCACAGUAAGAGCUUGCUCUUACGGGUGGCGAGUGGCGGACGGGUGAGGAAUACAUCGGAAUCUACUUUUUCGUGGGGGAUAACGUAGGGAAACUUACGCUAAUACCGCAUACGACCUACGGGUGAAAGCAGGGGAUCUUCUGACCUUGCGCGAUUGAAUUAGCCGAUGUCGGAUUAGCUAGUUGGCGGGGUAAAGGCCCACCAAGGCGACGAUCCGUAGCUGGUCUGAGAGGAUGAUCGGCCACACUGGAACUGAGACACGGUCCAGACUCCUACGGGAGGCAGCAGUGGGGAAUAUUGGACAAUGGGCGGAAGCCUGAUCCAGCCAUACCGCGUGGGUGAAGAAGGCCUUCGGGUUGUAAAGACCUUUUGUUGGGAAAGAAAGGCAGCAGGUUAAUACCCAGCUGUUCUGACGGUACCCAAAGAAUAAGCACCGGCUAACUUCGUG